This is a regulatory RNA element of 99 nucleotides. It matches the Rfam family "TPP riboswitch aptamer (THI element)". From Rfam's summary of the family: Vitamin B(1) in its active form thiamin pyrophosphate (TPP) is an essential coenzyme that is synthesised by coupling of pyrimidine and thiazole moieties in bacteria. The previously detected thiamin-regulatory element, thi box was extended, resulting in a new, highly conserved RNA secondary structure, the THI element, which is widely distributed in eubacteria and also occurs in some archaea. The record is from Rfam.
CACACACGCUAGGGGAGCCUUUGGCUGAGAUUGGUAGAAACCGAACCCUCACUACUUGAACCGGAUAAUGCCGGCGUAAGGAAGCAUCAGUAGUCCCCU